Molecule: long non-coding RNA, 793 nt
Filed under: Bos indicus x Bos taurus (hybrid cattle)
Lineage: Eukaryota; Metazoa; Chordata; Mammalia; Artiodactyla; Bovidae
Description: lncRNA (ENSBIXG00005001625.1)
Source: RNAcentral
CAUUGAGCGCCUGCUGAAUGCUGACUCUGUGGAGCCAAUCGGGACACACUGCUACAGCUUGUGGAGCACAGGCUUCUGGCGAACAGGAGGAUAAUUUCAGAGAGUGCCACGUGCUGAGCAGAGGGGGAGGGUGGAUCUGAGAGAUCUGGAGGAAGAAUAUUCGGAUUGCAGUGGCGGCAAGUGCAAAGGCCCUGAGGCGGGCACACGGUUAAAGUGCUGGAGGCAGAGCGAGGAGGGCAGCGUGACGAGCCGGCAAGAAAGGAGCAGAGGAGCCGGGCCAUUCCCGGCCCGCGAGGUCGUGGUCGUUGUCCGCGGGAGCUCGGAGUCGGCUCCGCUGGUACGGCAGGGAGCUUGCCUGGAGGAGGAGCCAUCCGUCCCCUCACUUCCUCCCCUCCGGCCCUUGCAUUCUGCAGACCCUACUUCACAGGCCCACCUCCUGGCCUUUGCACUAGCCCUUCCUGCCGCCUGCAGCGCGCUUUCUCUGGUUACUAGCCUGGUCAGUUCUGGUCUCCUCCUUCGGCCUUUGGCCGCAGUAUUCCUUCUUCUCCCCACCCCCACUUCUCUUCCUCCUCUCUCUCUCUUCCCUCUUCCCCUCCCCUUCUUCUCCUCCUCCGGCUCUCCCUCCCCUUUCCUCCUCGCCUUCCCUGGCCAUCUCCUCCAGAUUACUGGUUCUGCACUAGCCUUGGUUGGAUUUGUCACUGUUGUGAUAAAAUAAUGCCUAAGUCAUCUGUUGGCAGCCCUCGCCUCCCUCUGAAUCUGCCCUCCCUGCAGACACAGCGGCACGGGUUCAUGA